RNAcentral lists this ribosomal RNA (254 nucleotides) under Heterosigma akashiwo. Its description in RNAcentral is "partial Bacterial small subunit ribosomal RNA". It matches the Rfam family "Bacterial small subunit ribosomal RNA", at positions 420 to 669 of the family's 1533-position model. Lineage: Eukaryota; Raphidophyceae; Chattonellales; Chattonellaceae. The record is from RNAcentral.
GGGUUGUAAACCGCUGUCAGUUGGGAGGAAAUACUAGGGGGUUAUCCCCUUAGUUUGACCGAUCUUCAGAGGAAGGACGGGCUAAGUUCGUGCCAGCAGCCGCGGUAAGACGAACCGUCCAAACGUUAUUCGGUAUCACUGGGCUUAAAGCGUACGUAGGCGGCCUAGCAGGUGGGGUGUGAAAUCCCUCGGCUCAACCGAGGAACUGCGCUCCAAACCGUUAGGCUUGAGGGAGACAGGGGUGAUGGGAACUG